RNAcentral lists this unclassified non-coding RNA (337 nucleotides) under soil metagenome. RNAcentral's name for it is "partial contains 5.8S ribosomal RNA, internal transcribed spacer 2, and large subunit ribosomal RNA". The stretch from base 1 to 120 matches the Rfam family "5.8S ribosomal RNA", at positions 35 to 154 of the family's 154-position model. The record is from RNAcentral.
GAUGAAGAACGCAGCGAAAUGCGAUACGUAGUGUGAAUUGCAGAAUUCAGUGAAUCAUCGAAUCUUUGAACGCACAUUGCACCUCUCGGUAUUCCGGGAGGUAUGCCUGUUCGAGCGUCAUUUGUACCCUCAAGCUCUGCUUGGUGUUGGGUGUUUGUUCCGCCUCUGUGUGUGAACUCGCCUCAAAACAAUUGGCAGCCGGCGUAUUGAUUUCGGAGCGCAGUACAUCUCGCGCUUUGCACUCAUAACGACGACGUCCAAAAGUACAUUUUUACACUCUUGACCUCGGAUCAGGUAGGGAUACCCGCUGAACUUAAGCAUAUCAAUAAGCGGAGGA